This 589-nucleotide long non-coding RNA is filed under the name Salmo salar (Atlantic salmon). Its description in RNAcentral is "lncRNA (ENSSSAG00000113918.1, ENSSSAG00075019511.1)". Lineage: Eukaryota; Metazoa; Chordata; Actinopteri; Salmoniformes; Salmonidae. The record is from RNAcentral.
GCCCAUCCACAAUCCGAUCCACAACAUCCUAGCAAAACCCAAGCCUACUUGAUGGUAAUAGCGCUCACUUUUGCCCCUAGUGGCCGGUUUUGAAGGCAUUUUCCGAUGUCCUCCGGACAUAGAUAGAAGUCCAACUACGACGUCAAUCUUCAAGGAUCUCCCUGCAAAGAUCCCAGUUGUUUUGAAAGCCCCAUAAAUCCAGAGAAUGCCAGACUUUGAAGACAAAAUUUGCCCACGAAGGACAGCCGCACCAUCUUCCUUUCAAGUGAGCACAGCACAAGGUCCCCAAGAACACAGUGGCCCCCAUUAUUCUUAAAUGGAAGAUGUUGGAACCACAAAGUCUAUUCCUAGAGCUGGCCGCCCUGCCAAACUGAGCAAUCGGGGGAGAGGGGCCUUGGUCAGGGAGGUGACCAAGAACCUGAUGGCCACUCUGACAGUGCUCCAGAGUUCCUCUGUGGAGAUGGGAGAACUUUCCAGAAGGACAACUAUUUGGGGAGAAAAAAAAAAAAAAAAAAGUCUGCUGGAAUACUUUGUACAUAUGAGUGUGAAAUUGGGUUUGGUAUUUAAUACAGUGAGCUGCUGCAGUUAU